This is a long non-coding RNA of Ictalurus punctatus (channel catfish), 681 nucleotides long. NCBI's taxonomy places the organism in Eukaryota, Metazoa, Chordata, Actinopteri, Siluriformes, Ictaluridae. The record is from Ensembl.
AAAUAUUUCCAUAAUCCUUUCAGACAAAUCUUGUGUGUGUGCUGACCAAAUGAAAUUUCUAGAAAUCUCUGUACGGUUACGGAUUAGCGGAGCAACGCGGUGCUACUUCCUGUAUCUGUAUCUGUAUCUAUUCAGUGCUCCAAAUAUCUGAACCUGUAUCUUUGAUUAAAACAUCACAAGGGCGAUUUAUUUAUUUUUUUAUUUUUAAUGAACCCGACCACCAUGCCAACAAAAAACCUGGAAAUCAUUCAAAAGAAAUCUCUGAAAUCUCACUCUGACAGUUCCUCACCUCAGAUACAGCACAUCACUUGAGACCAUAGUUGGUUACUAAGGUACUAAUGUCACUGACCAGGUAGUUACUAAGUUACUGACCAGGGAGUUACUAAGUUACUGACCAGGGAGUUACUAAAGACACUGAUCAGGUGGUUACUAAGAUACUGACCAGGUAGGUACUAAGUUACUGACCAGGGAGUUACUAAGGUACUAAGGUCACUGACCAGGACAACAUUCUGGACAAACAAGUCCGAUCCCACGGAUCCACCUCGGUCGCAACUUACAGGACGUAAAGGAUCUGCCGCUAACGUCUCAGCGCCAGAUCCCACAGCACACCUUCGGAGGUCUUGUUGAGUCCGUACCUCGAGGUGUCGGAGCCGUUCUGGCACGAGGAGAGGCGGACCGCCC